GUUGGAGAGAUGGCUCAGUGGUUAAGAGCACUGACUGCACUUCCAGAGGUCCUGAGUUCAAAUCCCAGCACCCACA
This 76-nucleotide transfer RNA is filed under the name Mus musculus (house mouse). RNAcentral describes it as "tRNA-Cys". Lineage: Eukaryota; Metazoa; Chordata; Mammalia; Rodentia; Muridae. The record is from RNAcentral.